GCGAGCCUUAGUACGAUAGGAACGGGAUGGACGCACAAAUGGUGUAGCAGUUGAACUGCCAAGGGCAUAGAGGGAUAGCUAUGGGCGGAAGAGAUAAGUGUUGAAAUCAUAUCAGGAUGAAGGGCUACUAAAGAUGAGAUUUGCCAUAGCGUAAGGUAUUAAGAUACCUGAAAUAUGAUAAGGUUGAUAGGUUCGAGGUGGAAGCAUGGUGAAAUGUGGAGAUUGCGAAUACGAAUAGAUCGAGGA
Molecule: ribosomal RNA, 246 nt
Filed under: Bacillus paranthracis
Lineage: Bacteria; Bacillati; Bacillota; Bacilli; Caryophanales; Bacillaceae
Description: partial 23S ribosomal RNA
Rfam family: Bacterial large subunit ribosomal RNA
Source: RNAcentral